GCUCAGUUGGUUGAGGGCCCAACUUUGGCUCAGGUCAUGAUCUCACAGUUCGUGGGUUCAAGCCCCACACUGGGCU
This 76-nucleotide transfer RNA is filed under the name Felis catus (domestic cat). It matches the Rfam family "tRNA". Rfam says of the family: Transfer RNA (tRNA) molecules are approximately 80 nucleotides in length. Their secondary structure includes four short double-helical elements and three loops (D, anti-codon, and T loops). RNAcentral also lists the same sequence under 3 other names. Lineage: Eukaryota; Metazoa; Chordata; Mammalia; Carnivora; Felidae. The record is from Rfam by way of RNAcentral.